This 626-nucleotide ribosomal RNA is filed under the name uncultured bacterium. RNAcentral describes it as "bacterial SSU rRNA". It matches the Rfam family "Bacterial small subunit ribosomal RNA", at positions 243 to 866 of the family's 1533-position model. The record is from RNAcentral.
AGCUAGUUGGUGGGGUAAAGGCCUACCAAGGCGACGAUGGGUAGCCGGCCUGAGAGGGUGAACGGCCACAUUGGGACUGAGAUACGGCCCAGACUCCUACGGGAGGCAGCAGUUAAGAAUCUUGCGCAAUGGGGGGAACCCUGACGCAGCGACGCCGCGUGGAUGAUGAAGGCCUUCGGGUUGUAAAGUCCAGUAAGCAGGGAAGAAUAAGCGUGGGGUAAUAUUCCACGUGAUGACGGUACCUGCCUAAAGCCCCGGCUAACUACGUGCCAGCAGCCGCGGUAAUACGUAUGGGGCGAGCGUUGUUCGGAAUUAUUGGGCGUAAAGGGCGUCUAGGCGGGAGAUUAAGUUAGAUGUGAAAGCCAUGGGCUCAACCCAUGAAUAGCAUCUAAGACUGGUUUUCUUGAGUUCGGGAGAGGAGAGCGGAAUUCCUGGUGUAGCGGUGAAAUGCGUAGAUAUCAGGAAGAACACCGGUGGCGAAGGCGGCUCUCUGGCCUAGGACUGACGCUGAAGCGCGAAAGCGUGGGGAGCAAACAGGAUUAGAUACCCUGGUAGUCCACGCUGUAAACGUUGUAUACUAGGUGUUAGCGGCUAGUCUGCUAGUGCCGAAGCAAACGCAUUAAGUA